UUCACGCUACCUAUUCAGUCAAGUCGUUGCUGUCCGAGGGGCAAGAGGGGAACAAAGAAGAAGACGACUUUCGCGGAGAAAAAUGGCGCCAGAACACUAGGAAGACCUUAGAGAUAGACGUCGGUCCCGUGAAAAUGUGAAAUGGUGCCAGCCCUUGCAUAUGUCUUCUAUCUUCAGAUAUCUUCUGUUAGGCUAGUGAAGUAGGACAUUGACAGAAGGUGCUGCAUUUAAAUCAGUAUGGAUUGAAGGAGAGAAUAUAUACAAGGCUGAAUUUUCUUUUACACAGGAAAUUUAAAACCAGUUUUACCAAAUCAAAAAAUUUCAUGAACUUCGAUGGAAAGUUAAAUGGUAAAUAUCGGUUUGGAUUGAAGUGAACAUGAACAAUGAUGAAAAGAAAGUUUUAAACCAAUUUUACCAGGGAGACAAGUUUAUAAUAGUAAUACAGUUAUUAAAUCAGACAAAAAAUUAUGGACAGUCUGGAAUAGGAAACAGGGGCAGUAAGCAGGAAAGUUAAUACCAAUGACUUUAGGACAUAUUAUAAAGUAAACCUAACAAAAGUUUGGGGAACAUAUGACAACUAAAAAUGGGAGGAUACAGUAGCCAGACAUCUGACAGAAAAUGCAACAAGUGUUUCUGGAACAUCUGACGGUGAAAAUAUCUUCUGCUUUUGGAAGAAAUCAUUAGCCUUGUCUGUUGUAAACUGGCAAAAGUUACUUUGCUGUGAUAAAUUGAUGGAAACAGCUAAGACUUCUUGUCAUUAAACAUGCCAGUUUUUUUUUUUUUUUUUUUUUUUUUGCUAUCAACAAAUGUUCACAAAUAUACCCUACUUUGGUUGCAGUAAUUUAUAAAAAUAUAUAUAUAUGAAGCCAGUAAGUGUUCUUGUGCUAUAUAAAAUGUUUAACUUUUGUAAAUUAUUUUUGAAAAAUUAAUGAUUUUAAUUAAACGUUCUAAAACAUA
This is a long non-coding RNA of Mercenaria mercenaria, 957 nucleotides long. RefSeq lists it as uncharacterized. The record is from RefSeq and is a predicted model, not a curated record. The transcript is spliced from 3 exons. Lineage: Eukaryota; Metazoa; Mollusca; Bivalvia; Venerida; Veneridae.